RNAcentral lists this ribosomal RNA (270 nucleotides) under uncultured archaeon. RNAcentral's name for it is "partial 16S ribosomal RNA". It matches the Rfam family "Archaeal small subunit ribosomal RNA", at positions 477 to 747 of the family's 1478-position model. The record is from RNAcentral.
CUGCAGCUCAAGUGGUGACCGCUAUUAUUGGGCCUAAAACGUUCGUAGCCGGCUGAGUAAAUGCUUGGGUAAAUCGUGCCGCUUAACGGUACGAAUUCCGGGUAGACUACUCAGCUUGAGACCGGGAGAAGCUAGAGGUACUCCUGGGGUAGAGGUGAAAUUCUGUAAUCCUAGGGGGACCACCAGUGGCGAAGGCGUCUAGCUAGAACGGGUCUGACGGUGAGGGACGAAGCCCUGGGGCGCGAACCGGAUUAGAUACCCGCGUAGUCC